RNAcentral lists this transfer RNA (67 nucleotides) under Grus japonensis (Red-crowned crane). RNAcentral describes it as "tRNA-Val". Lineage: Eukaryota; Metazoa; Chordata; Aves; Gruiformes; Gruidae. The record is from RNAcentral.
GACGAGCACCAUUGACCCCCCAUGCUUUAGUGUGCUUCUCGUGAUGAUGCUAAGUGCCUCUACUAUA